UUUCUCCUUCAUUUUUCCCGUGGAUGCACCUUCAAAUGGACAGUGAAUGAGCCUCCAACUUUGACUCUCAGCGUCUUCUCCAAUCUCCCUCUCCGUUCAUCGUCGGUCAUCGUGUAAGUGCUGGAGCUUCCUUCCUUUGUCCUCCUCUGCUCAAGUAAGCUGUAAGUGUGUGACAAAAUCUCCCUCCUCUGUUGUGCUAUCGUCGAUCCCUGCUGGGGGGUCCUGACGAACUCAUCUCCUUCUUACUGUCGACAUCGAAGACUAUGGUAGUUGAAAAUCCUUCCUGUCAUCACUCAUCUUCACGUAUAUCUCCUCUAUGGUGCAUUGCUAUGGGGUCGUUGCUGUUGGUCAUCUCCUCUAUUCGUUCCGGGGGAUGGAAUGCAUCGGACCUUCUUCAUCUUCUUCCUCCUCCAUGGCCGUGCGACUUAAGCUUCCUCUUCUUGGUUUAUCUACCAUUAACGGGGAGAAAGAUCUAUGCUAAGAAGACCAAUGCCUGUGGUAAUGCCAAGAAGAAUGCUCCUAAUGCUAGCUCUUGAGCGACCUCUGCUGCAAAACAUGAGAAGUCCAUUAAGUUGGAGAAGAUGUAGAUAUUUAAUCUACAUUUGUUAGGAUCUAAAUCUAUUGUUUUUAUGUUGUACUUGGUGUUGUCAUCUUUAUCGCUGGAAUUAUAUGGCUUUAUCUUGGGACCUUAAUAAAUUGUUGCAUGCUUUAAGUCAUGUGUGGUAUGUUCAUGCCACCAUGUUAGGUUUCAUGUGUUAAAUCGCUUACUUUUAUCUAUCUAGUAUGUGCUGUAAUCCCUCAAACUUAAGUCUAAGCUUAAUCCUUUGAUCCUGUAAGUCAUUAGUGGUGUGUUAAAUACCACUAUCCUAUGUUUAAUGUUUAAUAUUUCAUGUUUUCCUUA
Long non-coding RNA from Prosopis cineraria, 901 nucleotides. RefSeq lists it as uncharacterized. Lineage: Eukaryota; Viridiplantae; Streptophyta; Magnoliopsida; Fabales; Fabaceae. The record is from RefSeq and is a predicted model, not a curated record. The transcript has 2 exons.